Molecule: long non-coding RNA, 551 nt
Organism: Harpegnathos saltator (Jerdon's jumping ant)
Lineage: Eukaryota; Metazoa; Arthropoda; Insecta; Hymenoptera; Formicidae
Exons: 3
Source: RefSeq, a predicted model, not a curated record
GUCGGUGUCGCAGAAAAUGUCGUGUGUAUUGGCCGCUCUCAAGUUUCUCUGCGAUCCUUAACUCGUUAUUGGAGUUAACGAUAACGAAAGUGUCGUUAACUCCAAUAACGAGUUAAAGAAUCGCGCCGCUGGUAUCAUGCAUUUUUCAAAGUCUUUUGUUCGCUUCCGUGGCGUGGUUGGAUGUGGUUCCUGUAACUGCGCAUAUUUUUUUUAUUGUGGGGACCGCAUUACAUUUGGUCUACGGGUUGGCGUUAGCCUGGGGUUUUCCAGCGCACAGCCAUUUAUUAAAUGAAUGAAUGAGUGCAUUUUUCAUAGAGCCACUUAUACAAUCUGCUACUUUCCUGCCAUACCACGUUGCUCUCCACCCGAAAAACCGCCGAGGAAAAUAGCUCAUCGUCUCAGGUUUGAUUGCACCGGAAGACCAGUUUUCAAACACGACGAAAUCAGUGAUUCCUCCAAGGCUUCUUUCAUAACGUCGAUGUUCUUCUUGGGUAUCUCUCCAGUUUCGAAAAAUUUCAGUCGGUCUUCCACCUGCUGUCUCAAUUUCUCAC